UAGAUGGUGUGUAGGCUGUUUAUCAACAUGUGAAAUCAAUGUGUAUUUCAGGAGUAGUUUCCCCUGUUAAAGAUCAAUAAUUCACAACAUACAAUGCGGCAUGCAGUCUGGUCAUCAAUGGAGAGUUUUGACACCUGUAUACCUGUAUUCUACCAGUCAUCUUUGUAGCCUUUGUUGUGUUCAUCAGACAGGGUUUAGGUGAAAGUGGUCUGUCACUGAGUCAACAAUUACUGUAGCCAAUAGUUGGUGCCAUUCACAAGCAGAAUAAUAUACAUAAAGCCUGAACAUCCAUCAUGUUUGAUCUUAAACUACCAGACUACCAGUGUUGGACAACUGGAGCCUUGCCUAGUAUUACUCAAAUUUGAGCUAUGGGGAUAGAGUCCAGAGAUAUUUUCCCUAUGGAUGUGUUUCAAAGAAUUCUGAUGGACCUUGGAGCAGUGUCAGUUAUGGGAGAUAAUUUCACUACUUGUGUUUUUCCAAAAGUUUCCAUGUGACCUAGAGAUGGACUCAGGCUAUUUUCUUGCUACCCAUGUUUUUCCAAGAUUUUCCAUGUGGCCUGAAGCAGGACAAACCACCAGGAAUACUAUGUGAAGGAUCCUUUAUAAUUUUUGGAUGGUUGUGGGAAUUUGAUGUAUUAUUGUAGUGUAUAACCAUGACAUUUUUCAUGAUAUAUGUAGGAUAAUAGAAGAAUUCAUUUUGCUAGAUAAUUGUUUAAGAUUACUUAGGCUUACUGUUUUAUCUGAAUGAGACUGAAUCUUUCAGAGAGCAUUUAAUUAUUUUUUUAUCUAGAAGUAUUGAGGUUUAAAUUAUACUUUUUUCCUUUUACUUAAAUUUCCUUUUUGAAGUUUAUUGUAUUCUUAAGAUUGAGUCAAUAUUUAUUUGUAUGUCUUUGUUUUAAA
Saccostrea cuccullata (small rock oyster) is the source of this 899-nucleotide long non-coding RNA. RefSeq lists it as uncharacterized. NCBI's taxonomy places the organism in Eukaryota, Metazoa, Mollusca, Bivalvia, Ostreida, Ostreidae. The record is from RefSeq and is a predicted model, not a curated record. The transcript has 4 exons.